RNAcentral lists this ribosomal RNA (428 nucleotides) under Gulella cf. planidens 'Rungwe'. RNAcentral describes it as "partial 16S ribosomal RNA". The record is from RNAcentral. Lineage: Eukaryota; Metazoa; Mollusca; Gastropoda; Stylommatophora; Streptaxidae.
AAUUUUAUGUUUUUAUAUAAGACCAUUUCUGCCCAAUGAUAAUUUUAAUGGCCGCAGUGCCUUGACUGUGCUAAGGUAGCAUAAUAAAUUGGCUUUUAAAUGAGGUCUAGAAUGAAAGAAUAUUUGAAGUAAAAAUUGUCUUUAUUUUGUUUUAUUGAAUUUUUUUAUUUAGGUGAAAAGACCUAAUAUAACUAAGAAAGACGAGAAGACCCUUAGAAUUUUUAAAAUAAAUGUUUACUGUUUUUUUUUGUUGGGGUGACAUAUUAACAUUUUUAACUUUUUGUUAAGACUAGAAGGAAAUUCAAGAAAGAAAAAAUUACCUUAGGGAUAACAGCAUAAUUUUUUUUUAAAAUUAUGACCUCGAUGUUGGACUAGGAACCUAAUAAUUAGUAAUUAAAUUGGUUAGUUCUGUUCGAACUAUUUCUCCU